GACGAACGCUGGCGGCGUGCUUAACACAUGCAAGUCGAGCGGUAAGGCCCUUUCGGGGGUACACGAGCGGCGAACGGGUGAGUAACACGUGGGUGACCUGCCCUCAGCUCUGGGAUAAGCCUGGGAAACUGGGUCUAAUACUGGAUAUGACUCCACGGUGCAUGUCGUGGGGUGGAAAGCCUUGUGCGGCUGAGGAUGGGCCCGCGGCCUAUCAGCUUGUUGGUGGGGNGAUGGCCUACCAAGGCGACGACGGGUAGCCGGCCUGAGAGGGCGACCGGCCACACUGGGACUGAGACACGGCCCAGACUCCUACGGGAGGCAGCAGUGGGGAAUCUUGCGCAAUGGGCGAAAGCCUGACGCAGCGACGCCG
Molecule: ribosomal RNA, 370 nt
Filed under: uncultured bacterium
Lineage: Bacteria
Description: bacterial SSU rRNA
Rfam family: Bacterial small subunit ribosomal RNA
Source: RNAcentral